Molecule: unclassified non-coding RNA, 359 nt
Filed under: Hevea brasiliensis (rubber tree)
Lineage: Eukaryota; Viridiplantae; Streptophyta; Magnoliopsida; Malpighiales; Euphorbiaceae
Source: RNAcentral
UGAAUUUUUAUGUUAAAAGUGUGUAUUAUGUAAUUUAGGCAAGGGCACCAUGCUACAAAAAGACACUCACCUUGCCUCUGGACUAAGCCCAUAGGUACCCAUUCGCCUUUUGCCUUGAUAACACUAGGGUAAAAUGAGAUCACCAGAGCAAAGAGGGAGAUGGAUAGAGAAUGAGAGGUGGGUCUAUGAAAGCUUGGUACAUAAAGGGUUUGGCUCAUAGUUACCAAAUUUACCAAUUCCCCUUGGGUUCCGCAAUCUGGGUCAUGCGUUCCAAUUCGUGGAACGUUUACGUCCCAAAUCGCUUGGGUACACGAUCUAGCUCGCCAAAUCAAGCAUAACCAUUUCAAUCACUCAGCACA